RNAcentral lists this unclassified non-coding RNA (346 nucleotides) under soil metagenome. RNAcentral describes it as "partial contains 5.8S ribosomal RNA, internal transcribed spacer 2, and large subunit ribosomal RNA". The stretch from base 1 to 120 matches the Rfam family "5.8S ribosomal RNA", at positions 35 to 154 of the family's 154-position model. The record is from RNAcentral.
GAUGAAGAACGCAGCGAAAUGCGAUAAGUAAUGUGAAUUGCAGAAUUCAGUGAAUCAUCGAGUCUUUGAACGCACAUUGCGCCCCCUGGUAUUCCGGGGGGCAUGCCUGUCCGAGCGUCAUUGCCGCCCUCAAGCACGGCUUGUGUGUUGGGCCCCGUCCUCCGAUCCCGGGGGACGGGCCCGAAAGGCAGCGGCGGCACCGCGUCCGGUCCUCGAGCGUAUGGGGCUUUGUCACCCGCUCUGUAGGCCCGGCCGGCGCUUGCCGAUCAACCCAAAUUUUUAUCCAGGUUGACCUCGGAUCAGGUAGGGAUACCCGCUGAACUUAAGCAUAUCAAUAAGCGGAGGA